This 30-nucleotide non-coding RNA is filed under the name Homo sapiens (human). The record is from RNAcentral. Lineage: Eukaryota; Metazoa; Chordata; Mammalia; Primates; Hominidae.
UGGGUGCACGUGUUAAUCGGAAAAGUGGUC